UAUUGCACAAUGGGGGAAACCCUGAUGCAGCGACGCCGCGUGAAGGAAGAAGUAUUUCGGUANGUAAACUUCUAUCAGCAGGGAANNAANNNANGGUACCUGACUAAGAAGCCCCGGCUAACUACGUGCCNNNANACGCGGUAAUACGUAGGGGGCAAGCGUUAUCCGGAUUUACUGGGUGUAAAGGGAGCGUAGGCGGUUUAGCAAGUCAGAAGUGAAAGCCCGGGGCUCAACUCCGGGACUGCUUUUGAAACUGUUGAACUAGAUUGCAGGAGAGGUAAGUGGAAUUCCUAGUGUAGCGGUGAAAUGCGUAGAUAUUAGGAGGAACACCAGUGGCGAAGGCGGCUUACUGGACUGUAAAUGACGCUGAGGCUCGAAAGCGUGGGGAGCAAACAGG
This 397-nucleotide ribosomal RNA is filed under the name uncultured bacterium. RNAcentral describes it as "partial 16S ribosomal RNA". It matches the Rfam family "Bacterial small subunit ribosomal RNA", at positions 362 to 776 of the family's 1533-position model. The record is from RNAcentral.